RNAcentral lists this long non-coding RNA (280 nucleotides) under Carica papaya (papaya). RNAcentral describes it as "long non-coding RNA (CPAP_LNC003891)". The record is from RNAcentral. Lineage: Eukaryota; Viridiplantae; Streptophyta; Magnoliopsida; Brassicales; Caricaceae.
GCUUGCCAAACCAACAACACAUUUACGGCUUGUCAAACCAACAAUACAUUUAUAGCUUGCCAAACCAUGACACGAUCGUGCCAACCACAGUAAUCCUACAUGUUAACUAUGGCAACGGCUGUACUUCACCAAAGGUGACCCCUAUAAUCAUAUCGUGUCACCACUUUCGUUAGAUGCUAUGUUGUCAUCCAUAGAGAACGGUCCUCUCACGUCUUUUCAGACUGGAUGGUAGAGAAACAGAAACACCUUAGAGAUAAAAAGUCUAACGAAAUACUUUAUG